GACAUGUUUACGCCGGACAGUCAGACAGACGGACAUUUGUAUAUCAUAAUACGUCCCAUCAAAAUUUUGACGGGCGUAUAAAAAAUAUCAGCAGGAUGAGAUCUGCUAUUAAGUCAACAUGUAAACACUGUAAAAAGCUAAAUUUGUUAGCUUCACAUGAACUACAAAUCAGUAAAAAGUCUUAAAUUGUCGGGCUACUCCAUAUACAUAUAUGUAGAUGUUAUUGCCCUUGCUGGAUGAUAUAAAAAAAAAAUCUGAUUUUAUUUUUCCAAAAUACUCUAUGCAUUGUAUCAAAUUGAUUCAAAAAUGAAAGGUGAAAGAUCCAAACUCCUUGGAUCUUCUAGUUACCACUCUUAUUAAGAGUUUUAAGAGUUUUAACUUUCUUUUUCACUAUUUAAGAUUAUAGAGAAGAUGGUUUUCUUUCGAAAC
This 429-nucleotide long non-coding RNA is filed under the name Mytilus galloprovincialis (Mediterranean mussel). Lineage: Eukaryota; Metazoa; Mollusca; Bivalvia; Mytilida; Mytilidae. The record is from RNAcentral.